This 449-nucleotide ribosomal RNA is filed under the name Spironucleus sp. 152 ND-2016. RNAcentral describes it as "SSU rRNA". It matches the Rfam family "Eukaryotic small subunit ribosomal RNA", at positions 566 to 1190 of the family's 1831-position model. RNAcentral also lists the same sequence under 2 other names. Lineage: Eukaryota; Fornicata; Diplomonadida; Hexamitidae. The record is from RNAcentral.
GCCAGCAGCCGCGGUAAUUCCGACACAGGGAGUUUUCCAUUUGGUUGCUGCAGUUAAAAAGUUCGUAGUUCACUUACUCUUUCACUAUAAGCAAAGCCGAAUGCUCAAAGUUAUUUAGCAGUAGUUAUAGUAUGAAAUUAUAGCGCGGCAUUGAACGUAGUUUGGGGUACUCGAUAGGGACAGGUGAAAUAGGAUGAUCUGUCGAAGACCCACGGUAGCGGAGGCUCCCAACGAAGUCCAAGUGUCACGAUCAAGAACUAAAGUCAGGGGAUAGACGACGAUUAGACACCGUUUUAUUCCUGACCCUAAACGAUGUCGCCUAGCUGAUGGAACUUUUUUCAUUUGCCAAGAGAAAUCGUAAGGUUUCAGACUCUGGGGGAAGUAUGAUCGCAAGGUUGAAACUUGAAGGGAUUGACGGAGAGGUACCACCAGACGUGGAGUCUGCGGCU